AGUUUUUGUUGUUUUGUCACUCCAUUUAUAUAGCAAACAAAGCAACCAAUUAAAGGAGACAAGAAGAAUAUUUGUGUUAUUAAUUUAUGUUACCAAUUUCUAAACAAACAGAUUUAGAUAGAAAUAGAUAAGAAUCUCUUGAGUGUUAGUCUAAUUAAAGCAAAAGAUUUGUUAGUAGCAACAAAAAAGUGAUUUGCACAUAACAGAAAAUUGUUUGCUUACAUUCUAAAUUAUAAUUUUUCUGUGUAUAUAAAAACACUGUAUGCAUGGUUAAUCUAAAAUGAAGAAUGAUCUUCCAAUCAAAUUGAUGAUGUUGAGAAAAGGCUUUCCAUCCUUGUUUUCAUCUCUUCAUUCCAUCCUUGUUUUCAUCUCUUCACUUCUAGUUCCAUAAGCAAUUAAUCAGCUUCUUCUACAAUAAGCUUAAUGCUGCAUAAAAUAAAAUGAAAUUACAAGAAUGUU
RNAcentral lists this long non-coding RNA (459 nucleotides) under Lathyrus oleraceus (garden pea). RNAcentral's name for it is "Pisum sativum (pea) long non-coding RNA (PSAT_LNC037740)". The record is from RNAcentral. Lineage: Eukaryota; Viridiplantae; Streptophyta; Magnoliopsida; Fabales; Fabaceae.